AUUGAACGCUGGCGGCAUGCCCUACACAUGCAAGUCGACCGUAACGGGCCUUUGGGUUCCGACGGGUUGGGAACGGGUGGGUAAUUCAUCCGGACCUGGCCGGACGGGGGGGGUAACGGAGGGGAAGCCUUGGUUAUUCCGCCUUCGGACUACGGGUUAAAGGAGGGGAACGGCAAGGCCUGGGGCGGACGGGGCGGCGAUGGCAGAUUAGGUAGUUGGUGGGAUAAAAGCUUACCAAGCCGACGAUCUGUAGCUGGUCUGAGAGGAUGAUCAGCCACACUGGGACUGAGACACGGCCCAGACUCCUACGGGAGGCAGCAGUGGGGAAUUUUGGACAAUGGGCGCAAGCCUGAUCCAGCCAUGCCGCGUGCAGGAUGAAGGCCUUCGGGUUGUAAACUGCUUUUGUACGGAACGAAAAGCCUUCUUUUAAUACAGGAGGGUCAUGACGGUACCGUAAGAAUAAGCACCGGCUAACUACGUG
RNAcentral lists this ribosomal RNA (481 nucleotides) under uncultured bacterium. Its description in RNAcentral is "partial 16S ribosomal RNA". It matches the Rfam family "Bacterial small subunit ribosomal RNA", at positions 30 to 507 of the family's 1533-position model. The record is from RNAcentral.